Molecule: transfer RNA, 64 nt
Filed under: Setodes iuppiter
Lineage: Eukaryota; Metazoa; Arthropoda; Insecta; Trichoptera; Leptoceridae
Description: tRNA-Asp
Source: RNAcentral
AAAGAAUUAGUUAAAAUAUAACAUAAAUUUGUCUAAUUUAAAUCAUUUAUUAAAAUAUUCUUUU